AGUGAACGCUGGCGGUAGGCCUAACACAUGCAAGUCGAACGGCAGCACAGUAAGAGCUUGCUCUUACGGGUGGCGAGUGGCGGACGGGUGAGGAAUACAUCGGAAUCUACUUUUUCGUGGGGGAUAACGUAGGGAAACUUACGCUAAUACCGCAUACGACCUACGGGUGAAAGCAGGGGAUCUUCGGACCUUGCGCGAUUGAAUGAGCCGAUGUCGGAUUAGCUAGUUGGCGGGGUAAAGGCCCACCAAGGCGACGAUCCGUAGCUGGUCUGAGAGGAUGAUCAGCCACACGGGAACUUAGACACGGUCCAGACUCCUACGGGAGGCAGCAGUGGGGAAUAUUGGACAAUGGGCGCAAGCCUGAUCCAGCCAUACCGCGUGGGUGAAGAAGGCCUUCGGGUUGUAAAGCCCUUUUGUUGGGAAAGAAAAGCAGCAGGUUAAUACCCCGCUGUUCUGACGGUACCCAAAGAAUAAGCACCGGCUAACUUCGUG
RNAcentral lists this ribosomal RNA (492 nucleotides) under uncultured bacterium. RNAcentral describes it as "partial 16S ribosomal RNA". It matches the Rfam family "Bacterial small subunit ribosomal RNA", at positions 29 to 507 of the family's 1533-position model. The record is from RNAcentral.